UCGCACACAACAUCUACCUGGCACCCCACUUGUCAAAGCCCCCUGGGGCCAUGGAGACGCCCAUUUCCCUUCCCUCAAUCCAAGGAAUCCUACAUGUCAGGUCCUCAGGGAUCCCCAUGUCCCAGGCUUGGGGUAUUUUAUGUUGGGCAUUUGUAUCCUGACUUUGGGGGUCUGUAUCCUGGGUUUGAGUGUUUGUAUCCCGGGCAGGGGGUCUGUAUCUUGGGUUUGAGUGUUUGUAUCCCGGGCUGGGGGGUUGUAUCCCGGGCUAGGGGUCCGUAUCCUGCCCUGGGGGUCGUGUCAUGGGCCGGACCCCUCCAUCCCGCACUGUCUCCUCAGUCCUGGUGACGGGCGGGAUCGUGGCCGUGGCGGGGCAGUUCAAGGGCUGGUACUUCGCUGCGUACUCCAUCGCGGCAGGCGUCCUGGUCUGCCUGCUCGAGUAUCCCAGGAGCAAGAGGAAAAAGGGCUCCACCAUGGAGAGGUGUGGCCAGAAGUACAUGACAGCUGUGGUGAAGCUGUUUGGGCCCCUGAC
This is an RNA transcript of Manacus vitellinus (golden-collared manakin), 529 nucleotides long. RefSeq lists it as uncharacterized. Lineage: Eukaryota; Metazoa; Chordata; Aves; Passeriformes; Pipridae. The record is from RefSeq and is a predicted model, not a curated record. The transcript has 3 exons.